This 200-nucleotide ribosomal RNA is filed under the name uncultured bacterium. RNAcentral's name for it is "partial 16S ribosomal RNA". It matches the Rfam family "Bacterial small subunit ribosomal RNA", at positions 8 to 230 of the family's 1533-position model. The record is from RNAcentral.
AGAGUUUGAUCCUGGCUCAGAAAGAACGCUGGCGGCAUGCUUAACACAUGCAAGUCGAACGGAUAGUAGCAAUACUAUUAGUGGCAAACGGGUGAGUAACACGUAGGAAUCUACCCUGUAGUACGGAACAACAGUUGGAAACGACUGCUAAUACCGCAUACGCUUCUUCGGAAGGAAAGAUUUAUCGCUAUAGGAUGAGC